Molecule: small RNA, 264 nt
Filed under: Rhizobium sp. N113
Lineage: Bacteria; Pseudomonadati; Pseudomonadota; Alphaproteobacteria; Hyphomicrobiales; Rhizobiaceae
Also listed under: 9 other names
Description: miscellaneous other RNA
Source: RNAcentral
GAAACAGCGUACCAUAUUCUCCUCGACUGCUUCGCCCAAAUCCCAGAUGGGCCAAGCGCGGCCUGCCUUUUCAGGGGGUCGAUCUCAAUCAUCGGUCUGCGCCUCGUAAGGGCAGGGCGAUCAAUGGAGGUAGAAUAUGAAUAUCGAGAAAUAUUCCGAGCGGGUGCGCGGUUUCAUUCAGUCGGCCCAAACCUAUGCGCUGGCGCAGGGGCAUCAGCAAUUUUCACCCGAACAUGUGCUCAAAGUUCUGCUCGAUGACGAUCA